This 463-nucleotide ribosomal RNA is filed under the name uncultured bacterium. Its description in RNAcentral is "bacterial SSU rRNA". It matches the Rfam family "Bacterial small subunit ribosomal RNA", at positions 29 to 507 of the family's 1533-position model. The record is from RNAcentral.
AAUGAACGUUGGCGGCGUGGAUUAGGCAUGCAAGUCGAGCGCUCAUCAGCAAUGGUGGGAGCGGCGAACGGCGUAGUAAUGCAUCGGAACGUACCCUCUGGACGGGGAUAGCCACGGGAAACUGUGGGUAAUACCCGAUAAUCUCUGCGGAGCAAAGGUGUGAUUCCGCCGGAGGAGCGGCUGAUGUGAUAUUAGCUAGUUGGUGGGGUAAAGGCCUACCAAGGCGAUGAUGUCUAGGGGGUGUGAGAGCAUGGCCCCCCACGACCGGAACUGAGAUACUGUCCGGACACCUACGGGUGGCUGCAGUCGAGAAUCUUCCGCAAUGGACGAAAGUCUGACGGAGCGACGCCGCGUGCGGGAUGAAGGCCCUUGGGUUGUAAACCGCUGUCAGAGGGGAUGAAAUCGUCGGGGGUACUCCCCCGAUGUUGACAGAGCCUCAAAGGAAGCACGGGCUAAGUACGUG